Molecule: ribosomal RNA, 253 nt
Filed under: uncultured bacterium
Lineage: Bacteria
Description: partial 16S ribosomal RNA
Rfam family: Bacterial small subunit ribosomal RNA
Source: RNAcentral
UACGGAGGGAGCUAGCGUUGUUCGGAAUUACUGGGCGUAAAGCGCACGUAGGCGGCUUUCUAAGUUAGAGGUGAAAUCCCGGGGCUCAACUCCGGAACUGCCUUUGAAACUGGAGAGCUAGAAUCUUGGAGAGGCGAGUGGAAUUCCGAGUGUAGAGGUGAAAUUCGUAGAUAUUCGGAAGAACACCAGUGGCGAAGGCGACUCGCUGGACAAGUAUUGACGCUGAGGUGCGAAAGCGUGGGGAGCAAACAGG